AAAGGAAUUGACGGGGCCGCACAAGCGGAGGAGCAUGUGGUUUAAUUCGAUGAUACGCGAGGAACCUUACCUGGGCUCGAACGUAAGAUGACUGUAGGUGAAAGCUUACAUCUCUUCGGAGCAUUUUACGAGGUGCUGCAUGGUUGUCGUCAGCUCGUGCCGUGAGGUGUCGGGUUAAGUCCCAUAACGAGCGCAACCCCUACCUUUAGUUGCCAUCAGGUAAUGCUGGGGACUCUAAAGGAACUGCCUACGCAAGUAGUGAGGAAGGCGGGGAUGACGUCAAAUCAGCACGGCCCUUACGUCCAGGGCUACACACGUGCUACAAUGGCCGAUACAGAGGGCAGCUACCUGGUGACAGGAUGCAAAUCUCCAAAGUCGGUCUCAGUUCGGAUCGGAGUCUGCAACCCGACUCCGUGAAGUUGGAUUCGCUAGUAAUCGCGCAUCAGCCAUGGCGCGGUGAAUACGUUCCCGGGCCUU
This 477-nucleotide ribosomal RNA is filed under the name uncultured Sphingobacteriales bacterium. Its description in RNAcentral is "bacterial SSU rRNA". It matches the Rfam family "Bacterial small subunit ribosomal RNA", at positions 903 to 1382 of the family's 1533-position model. The record is from RNAcentral. Lineage: Bacteria; Pseudomonadati; Bacteroidota; Sphingobacteriia; Sphingobacteriales.